UAACGACGCAGUGCUGGCGACAGGGCUGCAAACGGCCCGUCUUGAAACACGGACCAAGGAGUCUAACAUGUGCGCGAGUGCUCUAGCCUUUUGAAGCUAUUGCUCUGCGAAAUGAAAGUGAGAGGGGUGAUUUGCGGCGCACUUCUGAUGAUUUUUAUUAUUGGAAUGUGGCGGUGUGAAGCAACCCCGACCGAUCUGGAUCCGCGCUUGGGGUUUUUGUCUGGGAUUUAUUCUGGGCAAGCCGCUUGUGCGCAUGAAGGAUUUGCGUUCUAGCGCAUUUGUUAGGACCCGAUAGAUGGUGAGCUAUGCCUGAGCAGGGCGAAGCCAGAAGAAAUUCUGGUGGAGGCUCGUAGCGGUCAUGACGUGCAAAUCUGUCGUCAAACUUGGGUAUAGGGGCGAAAGACUCAUCGAACCAUCUAGUAGCUGGUUCCCACCGAAGUUUCCCUCAGGAUAGCAGAGGCUCAUUGAUUACAAUGAUUGUAGUAGUUUUAUCUGGUAAAGCGAAUGAUUAGAGGCCUUGGGGAGUGUAAUUUCCUCAACCUAUUCUCAAACUUUAAAUGGGUAAGGGGUGUGCGCUUUCUUUGAUUUGAAGCGUGUGCUUGAAUACGAGUCUCUAGUGGGCCAUUUUUGGUAAGCAGAACUGGCGAUGCGGGAUGAACCGAACGCGGGGUUGAGGUGCCGGAAUCGACGCUCAUGAGAACCCAGAAAAGGUGUUGGUUGGUAUAGACAGCAGGACGGUGGCCAUGGAAGUCGGAAUCCGCUAAGGAGUGUGUAACAACUCACCUGCCGAAUCAACUAGCCCUGAAAAUGGAUGGCGCUCAAGCGUCGUACCUAUACCCCGCUGUGCUUGCAAUAAUAAUAAAUAUAAAAAUAUGGAAUGAAGCUAGCACAAGUAGGUGGGCGUGGUGGUUUUCUUGGCGCGCACUCGAAAGGGUGUUUUUGCCUGCGAAUGACCUUGGAAGCCUGUGGCGUGAGCCUGGGUGGAGGGGCCACCAGUGCAGAUCUUGGUGACAGUAGCAACGAUUCAAAUGAGAUCUUUGAAGACUGAAGUGGAGCAAGGUUCCGUGGGAACAGCAGUUGGCCACGGGUGAGUCGGUCCUAAGAGAUGGGGCAGUCCUUUAUCAAGGCCAGGGGUGUGAGGGGGGAAAUGUAAUUUAUUGUGUUUCUCUCUGGUGCCCCCACUCAUCGAAAGGGAAGCAGGUUAAGAUUCCUGCACCGCACCACACCAUUUUAAAAAGCAGAGCGGCAACGCAAACAAACUCGGAGACGCUGCCGGGGGCCCUGGAAAGAGUUUUCUUUUCUUUUUGACGUGUUUUGGGGGCGUGUGCGAUUCUAUAUCGCGCGCGCUGCCAUUCUUGCCCUGGAAUCAGUUUGGCUGGAGAUGGGGCAGGAGACACGGCAGAGCAUCAUGAUUUUCUUUUUGUGAUGUCCGGUGCGCUCGCGGCGGACCAUGAAAAUCCGAGGGCGUAGAAAAAUUUGGUUUUCGAACCGAAUUAUAUAUAUGGCUGUGGGCGGCCGUACUGAUAACCGCAGCAGGUCUCCAAGGUGAAGAGCCUCUAGUUUGAUAGACGAAUGUAGGUAAGGGAAGUCGGCAAAAUGGAUCCGUAAGCUCGCGAUAAGGAUUGGCUCAAGAGGUUGGGAUGGGCUGCCAUUUCU
RNAcentral lists this ribosomal RNA (1656 nucleotides) under Salpingoeca huasca. RNAcentral describes it as "partial large subunit ribosomal RNA". It matches the Rfam family "Eukaryotic large subunit ribosomal RNA", at positions 613 to 1981 of the family's 3401-position model. The record is from RNAcentral. Lineage: Eukaryota; Choanoflagellata; Craspedida; Salpingoecidae.